UACGUAGGGGCAAGCGUUGUCCGGAUUUAUUGGCGUAAAGCGCUCGCAGGUGGUCCGUUGCGUCGUGCGUGAAAGACCCCGGCUCAACCGGGGAGGGUCGUGCGAUACGGGCAGACUAGAGUGCGGUAGGGGAGAUUGGAAUUCCUGGUGUAGCGGUGGAAUGCGCAGAUAUCAGGAGGAACACCGAUGGCGAAGGCAGAUCGUCUGGGCCGUAACUGACGCUGAGGAGCGAAAGCAUGGGAGCGAACAGGAUUAGAU
RNAcentral lists this ribosomal RNA (258 nucleotides) under uncultured bacterium. RNAcentral's name for it is "partial 16S ribosomal RNA". It matches the Rfam family "Bacterial small subunit ribosomal RNA", at positions 524 to 783 of the family's 1533-position model. The record is from RNAcentral.